This 499-nucleotide ribosomal RNA is filed under the name uncultured bacterium. RNAcentral's name for it is "partial 16S ribosomal RNA". It matches the Rfam family "Bacterial small subunit ribosomal RNA", at positions 29 to 523 of the family's 1533-position model. The record is from RNAcentral.
AACGAACGCUGGCGGCGUGUUUAAGACAUGCAAGUCGAACGGCUUGAAGUUGUAGCAAUACCGCUUCAACCAGUGGCGCACGGGUGCGUAACACGUGAGUUACAUGCCCUGCAGUGGGGAAUAGCUCGCCGAAAGGCGGAUUAAUACCCCAUGGUCCCGCAAGGGUAAAGGUGGCGAAAGCUGCCGCUGCAGGAUUGGCUCGCGUCCUAUCAGCUAGUUGGCGGGGUAACGGCCCACCAAGGCGACGACGGGUACCUGGUCUGAGAGGAUGAUCAGGCACACUGGAACUGAGACACGGUCCAGAAAGCUACGGGUGGAAGCAGUGGAGAAUAAUUCACAAUGGGCGAAAGCCUGAUGGGGCAACGCCGCGUGGAGGAUGAAGGUCUUCGGAUUGUAAACUCCUGUCAUCGGGGAGUAAGACCUGGGCGUGAAUAGCGCACAGGGUUGAUAGUACCCGAAGAGGAAGGGACGGCUAACUUCGUGCCAGCAGCCGCGGUAA